UACAGAGGGUGCGAGCGUUAAUCGGAAUUACUGGGCGUAAAGGGCGCGUAGGCGGCCUUCUAAGUCGAACGUGAAAUCCCCGGGCUCAACCCGGGAACUGCGUCCGAUACUGGGAGGCUUGAAUCCGGGAGAGGGAUGUGGAAUUCCAGGUGUAGCGGUGAAAUGCGUAGAUAUCUGGAGGAACACCGGUGGCGAAGGCGGCAUCCUGGACCGGUAUUGACGCUGAGGCGCGAAAGCCAGGGGAGCAAACGGG
RNAcentral lists this ribosomal RNA (253 nucleotides) under uncultured bacterium. RNAcentral's name for it is "partial 16S ribosomal RNA". It matches the Rfam family "Bacterial small subunit ribosomal RNA", at positions 524 to 776 of the family's 1533-position model. The record is from RNAcentral.